This is an RNA transcript of Molossus molossus (Pallas's mastiff bat), 2669 nucleotides long. It is a transcript of the gene named cyclin L1, with no coding region annotated. Lineage: Eukaryota; Metazoa; Chordata; Mammalia; Chiroptera; Molossidae. The record is from RefSeq and is a predicted model, not a curated record. The transcript is spliced from 15 exons.
AGAACGCGGCGGUCACGGGAAUAUCCGUCGCGCCGAGGACGCUGGUUAGUUUCGCUCCGGGUUCCAGCUGCGUCGGGCGUGCGUGCAGCUCGCUGAGACUAUGGCGUCCGGGCCUCACCCGACAGCGACCGCUGCCGCCGCAGCCUCAUCGGCCGCCCCGAGCGCGGGCGGCUCCAGCUCCGGGACGACGAACACGACUACGACUACGUCGGGAGGGAUCCUGAUCGGAGACCGCCUCUACUCGGAAGUUUCGCUCACCAUCGACCACUCGCUGAUUCCGGAGGAGCGGCUCUCUCCCACCCCGUCCAUGCAGGAUGGGCUCGACCUGUCUAGCGAGACGGACUUGCGCAUCUUGGGCUGCGAGCUCAUCCAAGCCGCUGGCAUUCUCCUCCGGCUGCCGCAGGUGGCGAUGGCAACGGGGCAGGUGUUGUUCCAUCGGUUUUUCUACUCCAAGUCUUUCGUCAAACACAGUUUCGAGAUUGUUGCUAUGGCUUGUAUUAAUCUUGCAUCAAAAAUCGAAGAAGCACCUAGAAGAAUAAGAGAUGUGAUUAAUGUAUUUCACCACCUACGCCAGUUAAGAGGAAAAAGGACUCCAAGCCCCCUGAUCCUUGAUCAGAACUACAUUAACACCAAAAAUCAAGUUAUCAAGGCAGAGAGGAGGGUGCUAAAGGAGUUGGGAUUUUGUGUUCAUGUCAAGCAUCCCCAUAAGAUCAUUGUUAUGUAUUUACAAGUCUUAGAAUGUGAACGUAAUCAAACCCUGGUUCAAACUGCCUGGAAUUAUAUGAAUGACAGUCUUCGAACCAAUGUAUUUGUUCGAUUUCAACCAGAGACUAUAGCAUGUGCUUGCAUCUACCUUGCGGCUAGAGCUCUUCAGAUUCCAUUGCCAACUCGUCCCCAUUGGUUUCUUCUUUUUGGUACCACAGAAGAGGAGAUCCAGGAUAUCUGCGUAGAAACCCUCAGGCUUUAUACCAGGAAAAAGCCAAACUAUGAACUGCUGGAAAAAGAAGUAGAGAAAAGAAAAGUAGCCUUACAAGAAGCCAAAUUAAAAGCAAAGGGAUUGAAUCCUGAUGGAACUCCGGCACUUUCAACCCUUGGUGGAUUUUCUCCAGCCUCUAAACCAUCAUCACCAAGAGAAGUAAAGGCUGAAGAGAAGUCACCAGUCUCUGUUAAUGUGAAGAUGGUCAAAAAAGAACCUGAGGACAGACAGCAGGCUUCCAAAAGCCCUUAUAAUGGGGUGAGAAAAGAAAGCAAGAGAAGUAGAAAUAGCAGAAGUGCUAGUCGAUCAAGGUCAAGAACACGAUCACAUUCUAGAUCGCAUACUCCAAGAAGACAACUUGGCUCCAAAUGAUUUGUUGCUGUUUCAAAAAAUCAAAUACACCCACAAAGAGAUGAAGACUUAAUGCCACUAUGGAUUUAAAAACAAAACAAAACAGCUCCUGAAGAGGGUUCCAAGGAUUUCCAAAUGUUCACCAAUGGCGGCGGGCAGUGGGACAGGAGAAAGAAAGUCUCACAAAGCAACUACAUUGAAGGAGACAAGAUUCGUUUGGAUAUAAAAACAUUGGUUUUCUAGGUUCUUGUAAAGAGGUUUACAACCUUAUGCUGCUCUACAUGAACUUUUAAAAAUAUUUUUGAAUAAUUCCAAACUUUUAUUAUGGAAAAUAUCAAACAGAAGUAGUAGAGUACCCAUUUCUCAACUCCAAAAACUAAUCAAAUCGUGGUCAGCCAGCCUUGUUUAUACCUCACCAAUUCACCACUACACCUCCCACUCUUAUUUGGAAGAGAAUCUCAGAUAAGUGACUUCAUCCCCAAAUAAUUCAAUCCAAGAGAAAGGCACAGCCCCAUUUAUUUCCACCAGUCAGAAAAGCUGACCCUGAUGUCAUCUCCUCAGUGGGCUCCUUUUCCUCAAACACUGGUGCCUCUUACUGCCCACGUCUUUCCUUGAGCAACGAAAACUCAUCACUGUAGGCUGGAAAAGGAAGGCUUUCAGAAGUUAAAAGAAACACAGUUUACCAACUAACUCAACCCCCUCUGAAACAGAAUAAAGAACCUUUCCUCUUAUCUGGGUUCAGAACUGGCAAGCAGCUUCGGUGUGGGCACUUCAUAAAUAACCUUGCUGAUGCAAAUGUCGAAGAUGCAAAGAAACCAUUUAGUCAUUUCCAGACCCCUUCUGAAAUGCCAGUGAUGGAAGCAGGAUCUUGACUAUCCUUUGCAGAUCUUAAACAAGAAAAGCCCAGUUCACCUGGGCACAUGGAACGAAACAGAACAAGAACAGUGGAUUAAUCGAUCUAUCCCGGAGUCUUGGGUGUACUUACAGGGAGCAGAGCGAACUGAAACACUGCCCAGACAUCUGUGACAGACGGACACAGUCACGACUUGGCCUUCCUGUGCGGUGGAGGAAGGGGACGGGAAACGGAGAAGGCCAGCGAUGAGUGCAGGCACACAUAUGCAUAACUAAGUUAUGCGAUCACUCAAUUGGUAAAUCUCAUCAACAGGAAGAUCUGAUGCACCCGCCUCACAUGCUAAGGGACUCCCUUCAGGCCCAAAGCAGAAAAGUAUCCAGAGGUGUCUUGGGUCAGGUAAACUACAGUCUCAAGCGUGCAACCUUUUCUGGGGUUUACACCAUGCAGUGAAUCGAAACUCUUCUAAUUAGCUUUGUGAUCUUGGCCAAA